GUGAGGAAUAUUGCACAAUGGGCGAAAGCCUGAUGCAGCAACGCCGCGUGAGUGAUGAAGGCCUUUGGGUCGUAAAACUCUGUCCUUGGGGAAGAAAAAAAUGACGGUACCCUUGGAGGAAGCCCCGGCUAACUACGUGCCAGCAGCCGCGGUAAUACGUAGGGGGCAAGCGUUAUCCGGAAUUAUUGGGCGUAAAGAGUGCGUAGGUGGUUUUGUAAGCGUAGGGUGAAAGGCAGUAGCUCAACUAUUGUUAGCCCUGCGAACUGUGAGACUUGAGUGCAGGAGAGGAAAGUGGAAUUCCUAGUGUAGCGGUGAAAUGCGUAGAUAUUAGGAGGAACACCAGUGGCGAAGGCGACUUUCUGGACUGUAACUGACGCUGAGGCGCGAAAGUGUGGGGAGCAAACAGGAUUAGAUACCCUAGUAGUCC
RNAcentral lists this ribosomal RNA (427 nucleotides) under uncultured bacterium. RNAcentral describes it as "partial 16S ribosomal RNA". It matches the Rfam family "Bacterial small subunit ribosomal RNA", at positions 354 to 796 of the family's 1533-position model. The record is from RNAcentral.